GACGAACGCUGGCGGCGUGCCUAACACAUGCAAGUCGAACGGAAAGGCCCUGCUUUUGUGGGGUGCUCGAGUGGCGAACGGGUGAGUAACACGUGAGUAACCUGCCCUUGACUUUGGGAUAACUUCAGGAAACUGGGGCUAAUACCGGAUAGGAGCUCCUGCUGCAUGGUGGGGGUUGGAAAGUUUCGGCGGUUGGGGAUGGACUCGCGGCUUAUCAGCUUGUUGGUGGGGUAGUGGCUUACCAAGGCUUUGACGGGUAGCCGGCCUGAGAGGGUGACCGGCCACAUUGGGACUGAGAUACGGCCCAGACUCCUACGGGAGGCAGCAGUGGGGAAUAUUGCACAAUGGGCGGAAGCCUGAUGCAGCAACGCCGCGUGCGGGAUGACGGCCUUCGGGUUGUAAACCGCUUUCGCCUGUGACGAAGCGUGAGUGACGGUAAUGGGUAAAGAGGCACCGGCUAACUACGUG
This 468-nucleotide ribosomal RNA is filed under the name uncultured bacterium. RNAcentral describes it as "partial 16S ribosomal RNA". It matches the Rfam family "Bacterial small subunit ribosomal RNA", at positions 28 to 507 of the family's 1533-position model. The record is from RNAcentral.